RNAcentral lists this ribosomal RNA (791 nucleotides) under Verrucaria sp. 14 SPS-2021. RNAcentral describes it as "SSU rRNA". It matches the Rfam family "Bacterial small subunit ribosomal RNA", at positions 350 to 1254 of the family's 1533-position model. The record is from RNAcentral. Lineage: Eukaryota; Fungi; Ascomycota; Eurotiomycetes; Verrucariales; Verrucariaceae.
AGCAGUGAAGGAUAUUGGUCAAUAGCCACACGGCUGAACCAGCAACUUGGAAGAAUGAAUAACGAAUAUCUCGUAUAAAAUUCUAGAUAGAAAACUGAUAAUGACAACUAUUUAUCUAUUAGUCUUGACCAAAUUACGUGCCAGCAGUCGCGGCAACACGCAGAAGACAAGUGUUAUUCAUCUUUAAUCGGUUUAAAGGGUACCUAGACGGGAAAUCAAGCCAUAGUAGGGACUAAUUUUCUAGAGUUUUAUGGAAGAAAGUCGAAUAUCUGGAGUAGAGAUAUAAUAUGGUAAUACCAGAGAGACGGGUAACGGCGUAGGCAACUUUCUAUGUAAAAACUGACGUUGAGGGACGAAGCCCUGGGUAACGAGAAGGAUUAGAUACCCCAGUAGUCCAGGGAGACAAUGAUGAAUGCCAUAGGCUAGAUAAAUUAGUCUAUAAAUGAAAGUGCAAGCAUUCCACCUCGAGACUAAAGCGGCAACGCCCAAAUUGAAAUCAUUAGACCGUUUCUGAAACCAGUAGUGAAGUAUGUUAUUUAAUUCGAUGAUCCGCGAAUAACCUUACCACGUUUUGAAUACUAUUCAAUUAAUACAAGCGCUGCACGGCUGUCUUUAGUUAAUGUCGUGAGACUUUGGUUAAUUCCUUUAAUUAACGCAAACCCUUGUUUUAUUUAUUCAUAAAACAGUUCUCCACUAUAUUGGAUAAGAUAUUUGGGAUUAAGGCAAGUCAUCACGGCCUUAAUAUCGUGGGCUCUAGGCGGGCCACAUAUAUCACAGAGAAGGAUGCUCUC